GGCUCAGGACGAACGCUGGCGGCGUGCCUAAUACAUGCAAGUCGAACGGUCUUUCUAUGGAAGCUUGCUUCCACUGAGAAGAUAGUGGCGAACGGGUGAGUAACACGUGGGUAACCUGCCCAUAAGAGGGGGGAUAACAUCCGGAAACGGGUGCUAAUACCGCAUAGUUUUCUUGAUCGCAUGAUUGAGAAAGGAAAGACGGCCUUUGUGCUGUCGCUUAUGGAUGGACCCGCGGCGUAUUAGUUAGUUGGUGAGGUAACGGCUCACCAAGACGAUGAUACGUAGCCGACCUGAGAGGGUGAUCGGCCACAUUGGGACUGAGACACGGCCCAAACUCCUACGGGAGGCAGCAGUAGGGAAUCUUCCGCAAUGGACGAAAGUCUGACGGAGCAACGCCGCGUGAGUGAAAGAAGGUUUUCGGAUCGUAAAACUCUGUUGUCAGAGAAGAACAAGUUGGAGAGUAACUGCUCCAGCCUUGACGGUAUCUGACCAGAAAGCCACGGCUAACUACGUGCCAGCCGCCGC
This 525-nucleotide ribosomal RNA is filed under the name uncultured bacterium. RNAcentral's name for it is "bacterial SSU rRNA". It matches the Rfam family "Bacterial small subunit ribosomal RNA", at positions 21 to 518 of the family's 1533-position model. The record is from RNAcentral.